Molecule: ribosomal RNA, 493 nt
Filed under: uncultured bacterium
Lineage: Bacteria
Description: partial 16S ribosomal RNA
Rfam family: Bacterial small subunit ribosomal RNA
Source: RNAcentral
AUUGAACGCUGGCGGCAUGCUUUACACAUGCAAGUCGAACGGUAACAGGUUAAGCUGACGAGUGGCGAACGGGUGAGUAAUGCAUCGGAACGUGCCCGAUCGUGGGGGAUAACGCAGCGGAAGCUGCGCUAAUACCGCAUACGAUCUGAGGAUGAAAGCGGGGGACCGUAAGGCCUCGCGCGAUCGGAGCGGCCGAUGUCAGAUUAGGUAGUUGGUGGGGUAAAGGCCCACCAAGCCGACGAUCUGUAGCUGGUCUGAGAGGACGACCAGCCACACUGGGACUGAGACACGGCCCAGACUCCUACGGGAGGCAGCAGUGGGGAAUUUUGGACAAUGGGCGAAAGCCUGAUCCAGCAAUGCCGCGUGCAGGAAGAAGGCCUUCGGGUUGUAAACUGCUUUUGUACGGAGCGAAGAGGUCCUUUCUAAUACAGGGGGCUCAUGACGGUACCGUAAGAAUAAGCACCGGCUAACUACGUGCCAGCCGCCGCGGUAA